Molecule: ribosomal RNA, 447 nt
Filed under: uncultured bacterium
Lineage: Bacteria
Description: bacterial SSU rRNA
Rfam family: Bacterial small subunit ribosomal RNA
Source: RNAcentral
GCCAGACUCCUACGGGAGGCAGCAGUGGGGAAUAUUGCACAAUGGGGGAAACCCUGAUGCAGCGACGCCGCGUGAGUGAAGAAGUAUUUCGGUAUGUAAAGCUCUAUCAGCAGGGAAGAAAAUGACGGUACCUGAUUAAGAAGCCCCGGCUAACUACGUGCCAGCAGCCGCGGUAAUACGUAGGGGGCAAGCGUUAUCCGGAUUUACUGGGUGUAAAGGGAGCGUAGACGGUGAUGCAAGUCAGAAGUGAAAGCCCGGGGCUCAACGCCGGGACUGCUUUUGAAACUGUGUGACUGGAGUGCAGGAGAGGUAAGCGGAAUUCCUGGUGUAGCGGUGAAAUGCGUAGAUAUCAGGAGGAACACCAGUGGCGAAGGCGGCUUACUGGACUGUAACUGACGUUGAGGCGCGAAAGCGUGGGGAGCAAACAGGAUUAGAUACCCCAGUAUA